GAUGAACGCUAGCGACAGGCUUAACACAUGCAAGUCGAGGGGCAGCAUAGAAGUAGCAAUACUUUGGUGGCGACCGGCGCACGGGUGAGUAACGCGUAUGCAACCUACCUAUCAGAGGGGGAUAACCCGGCGAAAGUCGGACUAAUACAGCAUAAAACAGGGGCACCGCGCGGUGAUAUUUGUUAAAGAUUAAUUGCUGAUAGAUGGGCAUUCGUUCCAUUAGGUAGUUGGUGAGGUAAUGGCUCACCAAGCCGACGAUGGAUAGGGGAACUGAGAGGUUGGUCCCCCACACUGGUACUGAGACACGGACCAGACUCCGACGGGAGGCAGCAGUGAGGAAUAUUGGUCAAUGGGCGAGAGCCUGAACCAGCCAAGUCGCGUGAAGGAAGAAGGAUCUAUGGUUCGUAAACUUCUUUUGCAGGGGAAUAAAGUGGAGGACGUGUCCUCUUUUGUAUGUACCCUGAGAAUAAGGAUCGGCUAACUCCGUGCCAGCCGCCGCCGUAA
RNAcentral lists this ribosomal RNA (504 nucleotides) under uncultured bacterium. RNAcentral describes it as "partial 16S ribosomal RNA". It matches the Rfam family "Bacterial small subunit ribosomal RNA", at positions 28 to 523 of the family's 1533-position model. The record is from RNAcentral.